Molecule: long non-coding RNA, 347 nt
Organism: Mytilus californianus (California mussel)
Lineage: Eukaryota; Metazoa; Mollusca; Bivalvia; Mytilida; Mytilidae
Exons: 4
Source: RefSeq, a predicted model, not a curated record
CGAAAAUGGGUUAGCAGCAGCUAUUCAAGUCACUCACACUUCCAAUGAGAAGUCUGUGAUUUAUGGCUCCUCAGUUUUUAAUCAGAGAAUUGAAAGGCAAUGGGGUUGGUUAAGGCAAAGCAAGUCAGACUUUUGGAUCAAUCAUUUCAAAUGCCUUCAAGCAGAUGGCUUAUUGAAUGUUAACAGUCAAAUCCACAAAAUAUGCCUGCAGUUUGUAUAUUUGCCGAUAAUUCAACAAGAUUUAGCAGACCUUAUAGUUCUUUGGAACAGCCAUAAUAUAAGAAAACAAAAUCAGGGAGAUAUAUUGUCAGGCAUACCUGAUGUUCUAUAUCAUUAUCCUGAAGUUU